GCUUCUAUGAUGUAACGGAAACAUGACGGAUUCCUAAUCUGUUCACCCGGGUUCGACUCCCGGUAGAAGUA
This 71-nucleotide transfer RNA is filed under the name Yasminevirus sp. GU-2018. It matches the Rfam family "tRNA". From Rfam's summary of the family: Transfer RNA (tRNA) molecules are approximately 80 nucleotides in length. The record is from Rfam by way of RNAcentral. Lineage: Varidnaviria; Bamfordvirae; Nucleocytoviricota; Megaviricetes; Imitervirales; Mimiviridae.